RNAcentral lists this unclassified non-coding RNA (393 nucleotides) under Hevea brasiliensis (rubber tree). Lineage: Eukaryota; Viridiplantae; Streptophyta; Magnoliopsida; Malpighiales; Euphorbiaceae. The record is from RNAcentral.
UGGGGUUAAUUCAUUUGCACAAGUCGGGAACAAAAAUAAGAGCAAAAUUCAAGAAAGGUAUUGGAAAGAGUUACUUUUGAGUUUGCUAUAAAAAUUGCUCCAGCAAGACAUACAUCCUUGCAUUUCAAGGGCAAAACAAAUAAUCAACUCAAACCAUACUCUUCAUCGCAUCAACAACACAGGCCACAGAAUAAACGGCCACGCAUAUCCCAUCCCCUUCCCCCCUUACCAGAGACUACAGUUAGAAAUAACUGAAUAAAAGAUCCAAGCGCAUCAUCAAAUAUACUGACCCUAUUACUCAUCAUUUUGGCUUUCAUCUUUGACGAGCUUGAUCAUGUCAUCAAUUCGAAGAAUUGUUAUGGCUGCUUCAGUGGCAAACUGAAUUAUCUUCAC